UAGUUUUACAAGGGUGAAAUAAUAUAAGCAUUACUUCAUGUAUUUCAUGCGUGACUCGUGUUUAAUCAAGUAUGACAAUGGUCCAUAAUGUCCAUGUUGACCCACUUAUUGUGUAAUUAUCUCAUUGUUUCAGCUUCAGCACCAGUCCACAUCCUUUUGACUGCCCACGUGAAUUCACUGAUGCAUCAUGAUAAACCAGAGAAGCUUUGUGAUUUUACUUGUGCAUGAACAUGUUUGUCCUGUGCAUACUUAAGUGCUUAUCUCAAGUUACUCCUUUGCAUGCAGACGGCCUAUUGCAUGUAGUGCUAACCUCACGUGGUGAAGAUGUCUUCCUGCCACGCUGCGCUAACUGCUGUGGUCGCAUGGUUCAAACUCUGCAAAGCCUGAGGCGAGAGAGUGAAGUGUGUCAGCCUGUGCAGCUGAUAACACCGCCUCAGUCACACUUAGGCCAAAGAGUGUUUGCUGGAGAGCCAAAGCGCAUGAUGGGUUUGUGACGCGGCACGCAGCGGCAUUCAAAUACUGAAAUUGGGAGGAACUCAUUUCUAAGAUGACUGAAUUUAGUUUCUCAGCAGGGUUGGAUUGAUAUGAAGCAGAGAACUAAAUGGCACGCAAAGGAGAGAUUGAAAGCGAGAAGCUUCCCCAGGAGGGUGCUGCACAUUCAGAGGUACAAAGAAUCUCCACGCUGACGUCCUGACCAACCAGUAGGAGUCACCAGUGCAGCGAUGAGGAACACUGCCAAUUGGGUUUUAUGGAGAUUGAAACAAUGGAACCCAGGAUUAAAGCUAAAAGCUGCUGUGGUGGGGUGUAUUAUCCCUCUGCAUAUCCACAAAUGUUAAAUAGCCGGUGCUUUUUGCAUCCCCUGGACUCACAACACAGGAUGGUUUGAUGACAUCUCAGAUGACAAGCCAAUUGAGGAUUCCAGCAUUGUUGUAAAUGCAACAAAAUAAAAUGAUUUUAUGGCG
Molecule: long non-coding RNA, 962 nt
Organism: Notolabrus celidotus (New Zealand spotty)
Lineage: Eukaryota; Metazoa; Chordata; Actinopteri; Labriformes; Labridae
Exons: 3
Source: RefSeq, a predicted model, not a curated record